This 468-nucleotide ribosomal RNA is filed under the name uncultured bacterium. RNAcentral's name for it is "partial 16S ribosomal RNA". It matches the Rfam family "Bacterial small subunit ribosomal RNA", at positions 28 to 507 of the family's 1533-position model. The record is from RNAcentral.
GACGAACGCUGGCGGCGUGCUUAACACAUGCAAGUCGAACGGAAAGGCCCUGCUUUUGUGGGGUGCUCGAGUGGCGAACGGGUGAGUAACACGUGAGUAACCUGCCCUUGACUUUGGGAUAACUUCAGGAAACUGGGGCUAAUACCGGAUAGGAGCUCCUGCUGCAUGGUGGGGGUUGGAAAGUUUCGGCGGUUGGGGAUGGACUCGCGGCUUAUCCGCUUGUUGGUGGGGUAGUGGCUUACCAAGGCUUUGACGGGUAGCCGGCCUGAGAGGGCGACCGGCCACAUUGGGACUGAGAUACGGCCCAGACUCCUACGGGAGGCAGCAGUGGGGAAUAUUGCACAAUGGGCGGAAGCCUGAUGCAGCAACGCCGCGUGCGGGAUGACGGCCUUCGGGUUGUAAACCGCUUUCGCCUGUGACGAAGCGUGAGUGACGGUAAUGGGUAAAGAAGCACCGGCUAACUACGUG